UCCAGACUCCUACGGGAGGCAGCAGUGGGGGAUAUUGCACAAUGGGGGGAACCCUGAUGCAGCGACGCCGCGUGGGUGAAGGAGUAUUUCGGUAUGUAAAGCCCUAUCGGCAGGGAAGAAGCAAGACGGUACCUGACUAAGAAGCCCCGGCUAACUACGUGCCAGCAGCCGCGGUAAUACGUAGGUGGCAAGCGUUAUCCGGAUUUAUUGGGUGUAAAGGGCGUGUAGGCGGGAAUGCAAGUCAGAUGUGAAAACUCAGGGCUCAACCCUGAGCCUGCAUUUGAAACUGUAUUUCUUGAGUGCUGGAGAGGCAAUCGGAAUUCCGUGUGUAGCGGUGAAAUGCGUAGAUAUUAGGAGGAACACCAGUGGCGAAGGCGGCCUGCUGGACGAUGACUGACGCUGAGGCUCGAAAGCGUGGGGAGCAAACAGGAUUAGAUACCCGAGUAAG
RNAcentral lists this ribosomal RNA (448 nucleotides) under uncultured bacterium. RNAcentral describes it as "partial 16S ribosomal RNA". It matches the Rfam family "Bacterial small subunit ribosomal RNA", at positions 330 to 793 of the family's 1533-position model. The record is from RNAcentral.